Molecule: ribosomal RNA, 335 nt
Filed under: uncultured bacterium
Lineage: Bacteria
Description: bacterial SSU rRNA
Rfam family: Bacterial small subunit ribosomal RNA
Source: RNAcentral
ACACGUGAUUCAGAGUUUGAUCCUGGCUCAGAUUGAACGCUGGCGGCGUGCCUAACACAUGCAAGUCGAGCGGCAGCGCGGGAGCAAUCCUGGCGGCGAGCGGCGGACGGGUGAGCAAUAUUUGGGAAUCUGCCUAUUAGUGGGGGACAACCCGGGGAAACUCGGGCUAAUACCGCAUACGCACUACGGUGGAAAGCCGGGGACCGCAAGGCCUGGCGCUAAUAGAUGAGCCCAAAUCGGAUUAGCUAGUUGGUGAGGUAAUGGCUCACCAAGGCUACGAUCCGUAGCUGGUCUGAGAGGACGACCAGCCACACCGGAACUGAGACACGGUCCGG